RNAcentral lists this ribosomal RNA (436 nucleotides) under uncultured archaeon. RNAcentral describes it as "bacterial SSU rRNA". It matches the Rfam family "Archaeal small subunit ribosomal RNA", at positions 264 to 702 of the family's 1478-position model. The record is from RNAcentral.
CGGGUNCGGGUUGUGAGAGCAAGAGCCCGNAGAUGGAUUNUGAGACNCGAAUCCAGGCCNUACGGGGNCAGCAGGCGCGAAAACUUUACAAUGCGGAAACCGUGAUAAGGGAAUCUCGAGUGCCAGCAUAUAAUGUUGGCUGUCCAGAUGCCUAAAAAGCAUCUGUUAGCAAGGGCCGGGCAAGACCGGUGCCAGCCGCCGCGGUAACACCGGCGGCCCGAGUGGUAACCGCUUUUAUUGGGUCUAAAGGGUCUGUAGCCGGCCAGGUAAGUCCCUUGGGAAAUCUGGCAGCUCAACUGUCAGGCUGCUAGGGGAUACUGUUUGGCUUGGGACCGGGAGAGGUGAGAGGUACCUUGGGGGUAGGGGUGAAAUCUUGUGAUCCUCGGGGGACCACCAGUGGCGAAGGCGUCUCACCAGAACGGGUCCGACGGUAAGG